UUGGUUGGAAAAAUAUUGGUUGAGAAAAAGAUGAAAUAAGUGAGAAGUGGGAGGUGGCUGGAUUGGUAAGAUCCUUUCAGAAACAUUAGACUCGGAAAUAGAGAGAUUACUAGCUUCAAGAAGCUUACCAGAAGUAGUGUCAGAAUCUCUGUAAGAUUGCUGGACAACUCCAGACGUGUCCUUCAGAAGCAUUGCUUUCUGGUGCUCAC
RNAcentral lists this long non-coding RNA (209 nucleotides) under Lathyrus oleraceus (garden pea). Its description in RNAcentral is "Pisum sativum (pea) long non-coding RNA (PSAT_LNC023049)". Lineage: Eukaryota; Viridiplantae; Streptophyta; Magnoliopsida; Fabales; Fabaceae. The record is from RNAcentral.